This 97-nucleotide signal recognition particle RNA is filed under the name Pseudomonadota bacterium. Its description in RNAcentral is "signal recognition particle sRNA small type". It matches the Rfam family "Bacterial small signal recognition particle RNA". From Rfam's summary of the family: The signal recognition particle (SRP) is a universally conserved ribonucleoprotein involved in the co-translational targeting of proteins to membranes. The record is from RNAcentral. Lineage: Bacteria; Pseudomonadati; Pseudomonadota.
UAUCGGUCCCCCCGCGACGACAACCUGUGAACCCCGUCAGGCCCGGAAGGGAGCAGCGGCAGCAGCGGCGUCGGGCGCCGGGGUGCGGCCGGUACGG